This 255-nucleotide ribosomal RNA is filed under the name uncultured bacterium. Its description in RNAcentral is "partial 16S ribosomal RNA". It matches the Rfam family "Bacterial small subunit ribosomal RNA", at positions 524 to 776 of the family's 1533-position model. The record is from RNAcentral.
UACGGAGGGGGCUAGCGUUGUUCGGAAUUACUGGGCGUAAAGCGCACGUAGGCGGCUUUGCAAGUUAGAGGUGAAAGCCCGGGGCUCAACUCCGGAAUUGCCUUUAAAACUGCAUCGCUAGAAUUGUGGAGAGGUAAGUGGAAUUCCGAGUGUAGAGGUGAAAUUCGUAGAUAUUCGGAAGAACACCAAGUGGCGAAGGCGACUUACUGGACACAUAUUGACGCUGAGGUGGCGAAAGCGUGGGGAGCAAACAGG